RNAcentral lists this ribosomal RNA (179 nucleotides) under uncultured bacterium. RNAcentral describes it as "partial 16S ribosomal RNA". It matches the Rfam family "Bacterial small subunit ribosomal RNA", at positions 1314 to 1500 of the family's 1533-position model. The record is from RNAcentral.
GACUCCGUGAAGCUGGAUUCGCUAGUAAUCGCGCAUCAGCCAUGGCGCGGUGAAUACGUUCCCGGGCCUUGUACACACCGCCCGUCAAGCCAUGGGAGCCGGGGGUGCUUGAAGUGCGUCGCCGCAAGGCGCGCCCUAGAGCAAAACCGGUGACUGGGGCUAAGUCGUAACAAGGUACC